This 416-nucleotide unclassified non-coding RNA is filed under the name soil metagenome. RNAcentral's name for it is "partial contains 5.8S ribosomal RNA, internal transcribed spacer 2, and large subunit ribosomal RNA". The stretch from base 1 to 119 matches the Rfam family "5.8S ribosomal RNA", at positions 35 to 154 of the family's 154-position model. The record is from RNAcentral.
GAUGAAGACGCAGCGAAAUGCGAUAAGUAAUGUGAAUUGCAGAAUUCAGUGAAUCAUCGAAUCUUUGAACGCACCUUGCGCUCCUUGGUAUUCCAAAGAGCAUGCCUGUUUGAGUAUCAUUAAAUUAUCAACUGUACCAAUUUGGUUGCAGAUUGGAUGUGGGAGAUUUUGCAGGCUUUUGAUUUCUCUUUGAGAAAACGGUCAGCUCUCCUGAAAUAUAUUAGCAGUGCCUUUGUUGGUUCAUUAGGUGUGAUAAUUUAUCUACAUCUUCACAUGGUACCUUCAUUUGUGUAAAGGUCAUAUUGCUUCUAAUUGUCUUUGGACAUAAAAAAAAAAAACAUAUAAUUGUAUGGAAAACUUGAUCUCAAAUCAGGCAGGACUACCCGCUGAACUUAAGCAUAUCAAUAAGCGGAGGA